AGUGAACGCUGGCGGUAGGCCUAACACAUGCAAGUCGAACGGCAGCACAGAGGAGCUUGCUCCUUGGGUGGCGAGUGGCGGACGGGUGAGGAAUACAUCGGAAUCUACUCUGUCGUGGGGGAUAACGUAGGGAAACUUACGCUAAUACCGCAUACGACCUACGGGUGAAAGCAGGGGACCUUCGGGCCUUGCGCGAUGGAAUGAGCCGAUGUCGGAUUAGCUAGUUGGCGGGGUAAAGGCCCACCAAGGCGACGAUCCGUAGCUGGUCUGAGAGGAUGAUCAGCCACACUGGAACUGAGACACGGUCCAGACUCCUACGGGAGGCAGCAGUGGGGAAUAUUGGACAAUGGGCGCAAGCCUGAUCCAGCCAUACCGCGUGGGUGAAGAAGGCCCUCGGGUUGUAAAGCCCUUUUGUUGGGAAAGAAAUCCAGCUGGCUAAUACCCGGUUGGGAUGACGGUACCCAAAGAAUAAGCACCGGCUAACUUCGUGCCAGCCGCCGCAGUAA
This 506-nucleotide ribosomal RNA is filed under the name uncultured bacterium. RNAcentral's name for it is "partial 16S ribosomal RNA". It matches the Rfam family "Bacterial small subunit ribosomal RNA", at positions 29 to 523 of the family's 1533-position model. The record is from RNAcentral.